Molecule: small nuclear RNA, 104 nt
Filed under: Neotoma lepida (desert woodrat)
Lineage: Eukaryota; Metazoa; Chordata; Mammalia; Rodentia; Cricetidae
Source: RNAcentral
GUGCUCACUUUGGCGACAUGUAUACUAAAAUUAGCAUAAUACAGAGAAGCUUAGCAUGGCCCCUGCACAAGGACAUACAAAUUUGUUGAGCAAGAUGUAUUUCU